Molecule: ribosomal RNA, 497 nt
Filed under: uncultured bacterium
Lineage: Bacteria
Description: partial 16S ribosomal RNA
Rfam family: Bacterial small subunit ribosomal RNA
Source: RNAcentral
GAUGAACGCUGGCGGCGUGCCUAAUACACGCAAGUCGAGCGAACAGACGAGGAGCUUGCUCCUCUGACGUUAGCGGCGGACGGGUGAGUAACACGUGGAUAACCUACCUAUAAGACUGGGAUAACUUCGGGAAACCGGAGCUAAUACCGGAUAAUAUAUUGAACCGCAUGGUUCAAUAGUGAAAGACGGUUUUGCUGUCACUUAUAGAUGGAUCCGCGCCGCAUUAGCUAGUUGGUAAGGUAACGGCUUACCAAGGCGACGAUGCGUAGCCGACCUGAGAGGGUGAUCGGCCACACUGGAACUGAGACACGGUCCAGACUCCUACGGGAGGCAGCAGUAGGGAAUCUUCCGCAAUGGGCGAAAGCCUGACGGAGCAACGCCGCGUGAGUGAUGAAGGUCUUCGGAUCGUAAAACUCUGAUAUUAGGGAAGAACAAAUGUGUAAGUAACUAUGCACGUCUUGACGGUACCUAAUCAGAAAGCCACGGCUAACUACGUG